GGAGAGGUGGCAGAGUGGAUGAAUGCAUCUGACUCGAAAUCAGACAUACCUGUAAGGUAUCGAGGGUUCGAAUCCCUCCCUCUCCGCCA
RNAcentral lists this transfer RNA (89 nucleotides) under Puniceicoccales bacterium. RNAcentral's name for it is "tRNA-Ser". It matches the Rfam family "tRNA". Rfam says of the family: Transfer RNA (tRNA) molecules are approximately 80 nucleotides in length. Their secondary structure includes four short double-helical elements and three loops (D, anti-codon, and T loops). The record is from RNAcentral. Lineage: Bacteria; Pseudomonadati; Verrucomicrobiota; Opitutia; Puniceicoccales.